This 2539-nucleotide small RNA is filed under the name Rattus norvegicus (Norway rat). Its description in RNAcentral is "uncharacterized LOC102548205". The record is from RNAcentral. Lineage: Eukaryota; Metazoa; Chordata; Mammalia; Rodentia; Muridae.
AAAAAUAGAUGACCACUUUAAGGAAUGAACAGGAGUUAUCUAGGAAUGAAGGGGUCAGACCCAGGCUCAGCAAGACAGGGUUGCUUUCACAGCAGAGUGGAGGGGUGAAGCAGGGCAUCCUCAGUGGUAUUUUACAUCUCUGACUGACUUACGCAAGAGGCGCGCUGGGUUUCAACUUUCCUGACACAUGCAGCAAAUGGGCUGUUGGAAAACGGCCGCUUGCAAAAUCGGAGACAAGAUGGAGCUGGGAUAGUUUACAAAGACUAAGAUCCGGACUGGGAAAUGGCCCAGGAGUCUCUGUUUUCUUGUGGAUGGCACAGUCAGCUCGAUGGGUUGUGUUUGUCUGCUAGUGAUAUGUAAAUAAUCUGGGUUGUGUAUUUACACUUGAACUGUUCACCGAUUCCUGUUAUUUCAGACCACAUACGCCCACGAGGCUCCGGUUUCCUGGAAUCCCUCACUGGAGUCCACGAGGAGUCAUUGGGUCGGUAUGCUAUCUUUUGUUGAUAAUUGAGAACCUUCUGGAUACAACACAAGAACUUGAACACCCCCCCCCCCUUCAACCACCGCCGGACUUGGCUUCGUGUUUGAAGAAUUGCAGCACCCUUCUCUCUGUAUUCAAGCUGGAAUUUCUUGGGACUCUGUGACUAUGGCUCAGGUCUAGUUCCAAAGGCCUCCACAAUAUGAUUCAAAAACAGAAACAAGAUCCCGGCCUGAUAAAUUAUUCAUAGAUCUGCUUUGGACCUCAUAUUGCACAAGAGUUAUUCAAAAGGUCUUCCUUUUAUUAAACCAGAGUCAAGCUGCUGGGCAAAGAUAAAGAUUUCCGUGGGAGAGCAAAUCAAACGGCCCCGUGCCGUUUAUCACAUAUGCCGAUUUUAACUGAGAACUUCCCCGGGGAUAUUAAAUAUUUUCCACAUCUGAUUUCCGAAGCGAGAGAGGAAACACAGAUGGAGUCCAGUGCCUACUAUAAACUAGAGACUGCAGUGUUCCAUCAAGGCUCCCCAUGUAAGAAGUGCAUUGGUCCUUUAAUGACUUUAUAGUCUGAUGCCAAACGGAGGUGCACACAUAGAUAAAUUUAUUUAACAACUAGUGAAAGGAAACGAAAGAGGUAUGUGCGGCAAGCUUUGCAGGAAGAGAAAGCACAAACCUGACCUAGAGGAAGAGAUGCUGCUGGAGCUAAUGGAGGAGUUGCGGUUGCUUGGUCUACAUAGGAAGAGAGAGUUGGUGACACAUAAAACAUGAAAGUAGAAGUUAGCGUGAUGUAGCACAGGUGUGGGCAAGAACUACACGUGAAGGUGCCUCUGCACCGGAGUUUCCCUUUACCCAGCAGCCACUGCUCCUGAAGAAGAGCAAGACCCGGAAGCACCGGAAACAGACUUAUGAAGACCUCGGACCCUAGCCUUGAUUCUGACUCUCUCUGGGAUAUGAUGUCUGGGGAUCUGUACUCUAAACCCAGCACCCAGUGUUCCAGAGGCAGCCUAUGGUUGGAGACAGCCUUCUGUUGUGGCUUAGAUGCUCACUUACCAAAGGUGAUGGGGCAGCCCGGAAGCAACACAGCAACGUGGCCAAAGGUGGAAGCUUCUCAAGCCAGAACGAUUCCUUCCUCUUUAUGCUUUCCCGAGACUUUUGUCAUGGUAAGGGAGAGCCGUGUGCACAGCUUCACCUUAACUUAAUGUCCACUGUUGUCACAUGAGUAACAGAUGUGGGGAUCGAGGAAAAACCCGGAGUUGCAUUCUCUGAGAGAACUGAUGACAACAGGGUGGACAAAAAAAAAUGUGCUUGGUAAAUAUUGGGGUGGCGUGAUGGCCAAUCCCAGUUGUCAAUUUGACUAUGUCUGGAAGUCACUAAAACCCCAAGCAGCUGGGCUGGAUUAUUUGAGAUGGGAAGAUCCAUGCUAAACCCGGGCCACACCUUCUGGACAUGGAUGAAGGAAGCUUGUGCUUUUUGCCUGCUUGCCCUCUCUCUCACUGGAAAGUGCAUCUAUCUUGCUGUGGAGGUAGUCCUUUGCUGCUGUUAGAUCCCACUUCUUUAGGAUUCCAAUGAAGACAGGAAAACCGGCAGCUCCCUAGGUCGUCCCUGGGGCUCCAGCACCACAUGGGGACUGCUGAGACAUCCAAACUUGUGGACCGAACAGCUACCAGAUCCUUGGCCUUUCCAUCGGGAGACAGCUAUUGUUGGACUGCUCAGACCGCAGCCUGAAAACAAUUCUAAUAAAUUGCAUAUGGGCGUGCACGUGUGUGUGUGUGUGUGUGUGUGUGUGUGUGUGUGUGUGUGUUUUCAUUCUAUUGGUUGUAUUCCUUUAAAGAAUCCUGACUAAUACAGGGGAAAUCAUCAUCACUGGGAAAGAUAAUGAAACUGGGUGUUCAGGCCCAGCGAGAUGCUUUGAAAUGGGACCUAACCUUAGCAAUAAGGCAGAACAUUCCAAAUAUGGACUGGGACUUAAGCAACAGCAGUGUAAUAAACACCAGCAGUCACAACACCAACUGACGUGUUAGUUUCUAGUUUGCAAAAACGAGAAUAAUAAAGCUUUUCGGAGUACUAA